Molecule: ribosomal RNA, 519 nt
Filed under: uncultured bacterium
Lineage: Bacteria
Description: bacterial SSU rRNA
Rfam family: Bacterial small subunit ribosomal RNA
Source: RNAcentral
AGAGUUUGAUCCUGGCUCAGAAUGAACGUUGGCGGCGUGGAUUAGGCAUGCAAGUCGAGCGAGAACCCCGCAAGGGGGGACAGCGGCAAACGGGGUAGUAACGGGUAGGUGACGUACCCUCGGGUUGGGGAUAGCCACGGGAAACUGUGGGUAAUACCCAAUAAUCUCCCGGAUCGUGAUGGUUCGGGAGCAAAGGUGUGAUUCCACCGGAGGAGCGGCCUGCUUCGUAUUAGCUAGUUGGUGAGGUAACGGCUCACCAAGGCUUCGAUGCGUAGGGGGUGUGAGAGCAUGACCCCCACCACUGGGACUGAGAUACUGCCCAGACACCUACGGGUGGCUGCAGUCGAGAAUCUUCGGCAAUGGGCGCAAGCCUGACCGAGCGACGCCGCGUGUGGGAUGAAGGCCCUUGGGUUGUAAACCACUGUCAGAGGGGAUGAAGUGCCAGAGAGUUAUCUCUUUGGUUUGACAUAGCCUCAGAGGAAGCACGGGCUAAGUUCGUGCCAGCAGCCGCGGUAAUAC